AGAAAUGUGAGAAGUAAUGUGAAUUGCAGAAUUCAGUGAAUCAUCGAAUCUUUGAACGCACCUUGCGCUCCUUGGUAUUCCUUGGAGCAUGCCUGUUUGAGUAUCAUGAAAUCUUCAAAGUAAAUCUUUUGUUAACUCAAUUGGUUUCUACUUUGGUAUUGGAGGUCUUUGCAGCUUCACACCUGCUCCUCUUUGUUCAUUAGCUGGAUCUCAGUGUUAUGCUUGGUUCCACUCGGCGUGAUAAGUUAUCUAUCGCUGAGGACACUGUAAAAGGUGGCCAAGGUAAAUGCAGAUGAACCGCUUCUAAUAGUCCAUUGACUUGGACAAUACUUUUAUGAUCUGAUCUCAAAUCAGGUAGGACUACCCGCUGAACUUAAGC
This 379-nucleotide unclassified non-coding RNA is filed under the name plant metagenome. Its description in RNAcentral is "partial contains 5.8S ribosomal RNA, internal transcribed spacer 2, and large subunit ribosomal RNA". The stretch from base 1 to 106 matches the Rfam family "5.8S ribosomal RNA", at positions 49 to 154 of the family's 154-position model. The record is from RNAcentral.